GCCUUCUUAGCUCAGUGGUAGAGCGUUGCACUUGUAUUUUGGUCAACUAGCGCAUCCUACAAUGCAAAGGUCAGUCGUUCAAUCCGGCUAGGAGGCA
Rhodocollybia butyracea is the source of this 97-nucleotide non-coding RNA. The record is from the annotation of a GenBank genome assembly. NCBI's taxonomy places the organism in Eukaryota, Fungi, Basidiomycota, Agaricomycetes, Agaricales, Omphalotaceae.